This 500-nucleotide ribosomal RNA is filed under the name uncultured bacterium. RNAcentral describes it as "partial 16S ribosomal RNA". It matches the Rfam family "Bacterial small subunit ribosomal RNA", at positions 30 to 523 of the family's 1533-position model. The record is from RNAcentral.
AUUGAACGCUGGCGGCAUGCUUUACGCAUGCAAGUCGAACGGUAACAGGGUGCUUGCACCGCUGACGAGUGGCGAACGGGUGAGUAAUGCGUCGGAACGUGCCGAGUAGUGGGGGAUAACGCAGCGAAAGUUGUGCUAAUACCGCAUACGUACUGAGGUAGAAAGUGGGGGACCUUCGGGCCUCACGCUAUUCGAGCGGCCGACGUCUGAUUAGCUAGUAGGUGAGGUAAAGGCUCACCUAGGCGACGAUCAGUAGCGGGUCUGAGAGGAUGAUCCGCCACACUGGGACUGAGACACGGCCCAGACUCCGGCGGGAGGCAGCAGUGGGGAAUUUUGGACAAUGGGCGAAAGCCUGAUCCAGCCAUGCCGCGUGUCUGAAGAAGGCCUUCGGGUUGUAAAGGACUUUUGUCAGGGAGGAAAUCCCUAGUGCUAAUAACACUGGGGGAUGACAGUACCUGAAGAAUAAGCACCGGCUAACUACGUGCCAGCAGCCGCCGUAA